Molecule: long non-coding RNA, 1582 nt
Organism: Papaver somniferum (opium poppy)
Lineage: Eukaryota; Viridiplantae; Streptophyta; Magnoliopsida; Ranunculales; Papaveraceae
Exons: 3
Source: RefSeq, a predicted model, not a curated record
CUUAUUCUUCUCUUUCUUCUUCAGUUUCUUCUUUUCCCCUGUUCUUCUUCUUCUACGAGUGUUUGAGAGAUCAAAAAGAAGCUUUGUGAUUGGUAGGAGGUGGAGAAGUUCAAGGAGUAGUUGAUAGUGAUGGUGUUGUGGUUUUUUGUUGAUUCAGAAUCGAAGGAGGAAGUAAAUCAGUGAGUUAGGGUUUAUGUUCUUUGGUUAAAGCUUGAUUUGAGAUGUCAAUUGAAGAUGGGUUCGUAGUUUCGAGAGUUUGAAUAGAAGAAUAAGAUGGAUGUGUCAAUUUGUAGAUUAGGUUUCAGAGAAGAAGAGUAAUUCGAUAAUUAGGGUUUAGUAUGAAAUUAAGAAGUGAAGUGAGUUACUAAUGGGAGAAGAAUUGAGGGGUUGUUAUCGAGUUGAUGAGGUGAAGUUGUUCUGAAGGUGAAUCGAAGAAUUAGGGUUUGUUCUUAAGAUGAAGAAUUUCAGAAAAGGGUGAUGAACCAGUUAAGACUGUGAUGAGUUAUGGUGGUGGUGCUAACUCGGGAAUUGACUUAACGCAGAAUGAUGAGGCAAAGAUGAAAUAAGGGAUUCAACAGAAUUAAUUUGAUAUCUAAGAAAUUCAGAAGAAGAUAAUGUUUGGGUAAGCCUCUAUUUUAUCUCAAUUUUAGUAUUUUGAAUUGAAUUGUUGUGAUUUCUAAGAUUGAGAUAAUUAAAAGAUGAAACUGUGAUUGUGGAUAGUAAGAAGAUGAUUUUGUAAUUGUUCUAACUGAAGUUGUUUUGAUUGGAGAGAAGAAAUUAUAUAUGGUUGGAUUUCAGUUGUGAAUGAUUGUUGCAGGUCGGGGAAGUGAUUUUAGUGGUGGUGUUGAAGUUAUAGUUGAAAGAGUUGGUGGUGUUACAGGUUCUGUAAGAAGAUUAUAUGGGUGUGUGUUUGUUGAUGAAACUCCAGGGGAUUGGUACUGUUGGUUAGUGUAACAUGAGUUGAUAAUGAGUAAAAUAAAUUGAAGUUUUAGAUGACUGUUGGUAGAUUACAUGUGAGCAGAUUCGUUGGUGGUGUUGUUGUGUUUUGAGAUGGCAGUGGAACUGGAAUUGCAGGUGUAGCUGUCAUAUAUAGUUAAAUGAGAUGGCAAUGGUUGUGGUGCUGCUGAUAUGAAUGGUGUGUAUGGAAUACAAGAACUGUUGAUGGGUUAUGCUGAGUGUUGUUCAGCCGAGAAUUGUUGUUUGAGAUGGUUCAAUAGUAGUGAGGUAAUGGUGUUGUUAUUGGAAUUGUGUUCUCAAGCUAGAUGUAUUUUAGAAUGGGAGUUGUAAUGAGUUUAUUGUGACUGUAGAAGUAUGAAUGUAGAAAGAUGAUGCUUAGAGCUGCAAUUACAGUUAGUCUUUAUUAACAAUGAUCGAUUCAAAAGAUGAUCCAGUGGAUUUCGCGGUCUUGUCAUCAACAGAGUUUCAGAGACAGAUCAGAGUUGCAUAGCGGAAGCUUCAAGGAUUGAGUUCGUUAGUUGGUUAACUUCUGCUAUGUUUAUUAUGUUGUAUAAUUUAUUUGCAAACCAAAUGACUAUUGUAUAUGUAUCAUUUGAGAGGAGUUUUUGUAUUUAUAUACUUCAGA